RNAcentral lists this ribosomal RNA (430 nucleotides) under Pseudomonadota bacterium. RNAcentral describes it as "Proteobacteria bacterium partial 16S ribosomal RNA". It matches the Rfam family "Bacterial small subunit ribosomal RNA", at positions 355 to 776 of the family's 1533-position model. The record is from RNAcentral. Lineage: Bacteria; Pseudomonadati; Pseudomonadota.
UGGGGAAUAUUGGACAAUGGGCGAAAGCCUGAUCCAGCCAUGCCGCGUGUGUGAAGAAGGCCUUUUGGUUGUAAAGCACUUUAAGCGAGGAGGAGGCUACUAGUACUAAUACUACUGGAUAGUGGACGUUACUCGCAGAAUAAGCACCGGCUAACUCUGUGCCAGCAGCCGCGGAAAUACAGAGGGUGCGAGCGUUAAUCGGAUUUACUGGGCGUAAAGCGUGCGUAGGCGGCUGAUUAAGUCGGAUGUGAAAUCCCUGAGCUUAACUUAGGAAUUGCAUUCGAUACUGGUCAGCUAGAGUAUGGGAGAGGAUGGUAGAAUUCCAGGUGUAGCGGUGAAAUGCGUAGAGAUCUGGAGGAAUACCGAUGGCGAAGGCAGCCAUCUGGCCUAAUACUGACGCUGAGGUACGAAAGCAUGGGGAGCAAACAGG